GACGAACGCUGGCGGCGUGCUUAACACAUGCAAGUCGAACGGAAAGGCCCUGCUUUUGUGGGGUGCUCGAGUGGCGAACGGGUGAGUAACACGUGAGUAACCUGCCCUUGACUUUGGGAUAACUUCAGGUAACUGGGGUUAAUACCGGAUAGGAGCUCCUGCUGCAUGGUGGGGGUUGGAAAGUGUCGGCGGUUGGGGAUGGACUCGCGGCUUACCAGUUUGUUGGUGGGGUAGUGGCUUACCAAGGCUUUGACGGGUAGCCGGCCUGAGAGGGUGACCGGCCACAUUGGGACUGAGCUACGGCCCAGCCUCCAACGGGAGGCAGCGGUGGGGAAUAUUGCACAAUGGGCGGAAGCCGGAUGCAGCAACGCCGCGUGCGGGAUGACGGCCUUCGGGUUGUAAACGGCUUUCGCAGGUGACGAAGCGUGAGUGACGGUACUGGGUAAAGAAGCACCGGCUAACUACGUG
Molecule: ribosomal RNA, 468 nt
Filed under: uncultured bacterium
Lineage: Bacteria
Description: partial 16S ribosomal RNA
Rfam family: Bacterial small subunit ribosomal RNA
Source: RNAcentral